Molecule: long non-coding RNA, 386 nt
Filed under: Sinocyclocheilus grahami
Lineage: Eukaryota; Metazoa; Chordata; Actinopteri; Cypriniformes; Cyprinidae
Description: lncRNA (ENSSGRG00000054392.1)
Source: RNAcentral
CUCUGCUGAUUCAGAACACCAGACGGCUGGUCCGGAGGUGAUCUAUGAUGAUGUACCCUGUGAAGAAGAUCUGUCUUCAGGAGAAGCUGACUUGAUCUAUGAAGACAUACAGAAAGAGGAGGGCUUGCAAGGGCCCAAUAAUGGCUGGAGCUCAAGUGAGUUUGAAAGCUAUGAUGAGCAGUCUGACUCUGACAGGGCACCAACCCGCAGCAAGCUCUCCCCUGAUGUUCGACGACUGAGAGAAUGUUACACCAGGACCAAACAGGAGCUAGCCAUGAGACUGGGGGGCAGACAUCAGGUACACUCAUGCACGUAUGGGAAGAAUGGGCUUUAGUGGGGUGAAUUAGCUCAGAGCUGUAAAUUGGAGCAAUCACACAAACCUGGGA